This is a non-coding RNA of Danio rerio (zebrafish), 549 nucleotides long. The record is from RefSeq and is a predicted model, not a curated record. NCBI's taxonomy places the organism in Eukaryota, Metazoa, Chordata, Actinopteri, Cypriniformes, Danionidae.
UUGUGCACUGGAAAGACCGAACAUGCAGUGAACCUUCAUCCACCAUUGGAUACCGUCAUUGGACCAACUGGCUGGACCCUACAAAAUGGUGACCCAUCUCCGUGAUCUCCCAACUCAGGCGAGGUACGUCUUUCCAGCACAAAAUGGAUUUAUAUCAACCAAGAGGUUUGGAUCUUCUAUUCUAUCUUCAGCUGCUGUGGUAAGUCAAUUCUUCUUUGCCUAUUAGAAAUGUUGAGGGAAAGCUGGACGCACCCUAUAUAAACACAUUGAUAGAAUGAGUCGGAAAUGCUCAAAAAUGUUAGACCGGAAUGCGUUAUCCGGUGGGGUUGAGAAUUAGACAAAACCACUUUGAUUAUCAGGGACAUGAUAGCAGCAGUAUAGAUUAAUGCCAUCCCUUGCUCUGAAAUCUCUUUGUCUGCUAGGCAGCAAGAGUUGAAGCUUAAAAUUGGAAUAACAUCAUCCAAAUUAUAUUCUGGGACUCAGUGGAGAGUCAUAAAUUAGAUCCUAAAAGUUUAAAUCAAAAACUAUCCAUUGUUUUAAAUCUACUGU